This is an unclassified non-coding RNA of Homo sapiens (human), 282 nucleotides long. It matches the Rfam family "Metazoan signal recognition particle RNA". Rfam says of the family: The signal recognition particle (SRP) is a universally conserved ribonucleoprotein. It is involved in the co-translational targeting of proteins to membranes. The eukaryotic SRP consists of a 300-nucleotide 7S RNA and six proteins: SRPs 72, 68, 54, 19, 14, and 9. The record is from Ensembl. NCBI's taxonomy places the organism in Eukaryota, Metazoa, Chordata, Mammalia, Primates, Hominidae.
GCCGGGCGUGGUGGCUCACGCCUGUAAUCCCAGCACUUUGGGAGGCUGAGACGGGUGGGUCACUUGAGGUCAGGAGUUCGAUAGCAGUCUGGCCAACAUGGUGAAAUGCCGUCUCUACUAAAAAUACAAAAAUUAGCCGGGUGUGGUGGCAUACGCCUGUAGUCCCAGUUACUCGGGAGGCUGAGGUGGGAGAAUUUCUUCAACCCAGGAGGCAGAAGUUGCAGUGAGCCAAGAUCGCGCCAUUGCACUCCAGCCUGGGCAACACAGCGAGACUCUGUCUUA